Molecule: transfer RNA, 66 nt
Filed under: Diaphanoeca grandis
Lineage: Eukaryota; Choanoflagellata; Acanthoecida; Stephanoecidae
Source: RNAcentral
ACGCUGGCGUUUCUGGCAGCCUAUGCGCUGGUGCGGUUCCGCUUUCCAGCCCAGUUAGACCGGAUG